This 336-nucleotide ribosomal RNA is filed under the name Triticum aestivum (bread wheat). RNAcentral describes it as "partial small subunit ribosomal RNA". Lineage: Eukaryota; Viridiplantae; Streptophyta; Magnoliopsida; Poales; Poaceae. The record is from RNAcentral.
AUGCUAACAAGUUUAGUCUCAAGAUCAUAUCAGAUUUGUCACCCUGGAGCAUCAAGGCCAGAGGAAUCGAGGCAAAUAUCUAGGGUUUUGAUUUUAGCCUCUAAUUCCACCUUGGAUUUAAGCGCUUCCGCCCGCAAGUUGGCCCCCAGCCCCGCAGGAAAUGCCGCGAGUGCUAGGAGCAGUGCCUCCAGUCGUCAAUUGGCCGAAAGGAUCUAUGGCUGUCAUUACAGAGCGAUGUCCAUUUAUCGGUGCCCCCUCACUUGCCACCCUUCUGUCUUUGGCCGCUUCUGGGCCACAGAACAGCCGGGUAGUAGCUGGCCUCCUUGCCGUCGCUGA